GCCUCAGUGUCGUCCGAUAGGAYCUUCCCUUCGGGGGACAGAGUGACAGGUGGUGCAUGGUUGUCGUCAGCUGAGGCGKGAGAUGUUGGGUUAAGUCCCGCAACGAGCGCAACCCUUGAUCUUAGUUGCCAGCAUUCAGUUGGGCACUCUAAGGUGACUGCCGGUGACAAACCGGAGGAAGGUGGGGAUGACGUCAAAUCAUCAUGCCCCUUAUGACCUGGGCUACACACGUGCUACAAUGGAUGGUACAAAGGGCUGCAAAACCGCAAGGUCUAGCCAAUCCCAUAAAACCAUUCUCAGUUCGGAUUGUAGGCUGCAACUCGCCUACAUGAAGCCGGAAUCGCUAGUAAUCGCGGAUCAGCAUGCCGCGGUGAAUACGUUCCCGGGUCUUGUACACACCGA
This 402-nucleotide ribosomal RNA is filed under the name Bacillus sp. 34(2012). Its description in RNAcentral is "bacterial SSU rRNA". It matches the Rfam family "Bacterial small subunit ribosomal RNA", at positions 987 to 1393 of the family's 1533-position model. The record is from RNAcentral. Lineage: Bacteria; Bacillati; Bacillota; Bacilli; Caryophanales; Bacillaceae.